Molecule: ribosomal RNA, 439 nt
Filed under: uncultured bacterium
Lineage: Bacteria
Description: bacterial SSU rRNA
Rfam family: Bacterial small subunit ribosomal RNA
Source: RNAcentral
UACGGAAGGGAGCAGUGGGGAAUAUUGCACAAUGGGCGCAAGCCUGAUGCAGCCAUGCCGCGUGUAUGAAGAAGGCCUUCGGGUUGUAAAGUACUUUCAGUCGUGAGGAAGGUGUUAAGGUUAAUAACCUUAGCAAUUGACGUUAGCGACAGAAGAAGCACCGGCUAACUCCGUGCCAGCAGCCGCGGUAAUACGGAGGGUGCGAGCGUUAAUCGGAAUUACUGGGCGUAAAGGGCACGCAGGCGGUUAAUUAAGUUGGAUGUGAAAUCCCCGGGCUUAACCUGGGAAUGGCAUUCAAGACUGGUUAGCUAGAGUCUUGUAGAGGGGGUAGAAUUCCAUGUGUAGCGGUGAAAUGCGUAGAGAUGUGGAGGAAUACCGGUGGCGAAGGCGGCCCCUGGACAAAGACUGACGCUCAUGUGCGAAAGCGUGGGGAGCAAAC